Molecule: long non-coding RNA, 1113 nt
Filed under: Physcomitrium patens
Lineage: Eukaryota; Viridiplantae; Streptophyta; Bryopsida; Funariales; Funariaceae
Description: long non-coding RNA (PPAT_LNC004982)
Source: RNAcentral
AUUAACUAAAGAAAUACCUCAAACCAUCCUCCUUCUCAGACCUUUUUCAAUCGAUGUUCUUCUCAUGGUGAAUGCUACAUUAACUUAAGAAAUAUUUCAAUCCAUUCUUCUUAUCUCUCUUUUACAAUCGAUGUUCUUCUCCCGCUGAAUGCCAUAUUGACUUAAAAAAUACUUUAAUCCAUCUUCCUUCUCAGUCUUUUACAAUCAAUGUUCUUCUCCCGCUCAAUGCCACAUUGACUUCAAAAAUACUUCAAUCGAUCCUCCUUUGCAGUCUUUUACAAUUGAUGUGCUUCUCCAUCUCAAUGCCACAUUGAAUUAAGAAAUACUUCAAUCCAUCUUCCUUCUCAGUCUUUUACAAUCAAUGUUCUUCUCCUGCUUAAAGCGACAUUGACUUAAGAAAUACUUCAUUCCAUUUUCUUUUUCAGUCUUUUAUAAUCAAUGUUCUUUUCCCGCUCAAUGUCACAUUGACUUAAGAAAUACUUCAAUCCAGCUUCUUUUUCAGCCUUUUACAAUUGAUGUUCUUUUCACACUCAAUGUCACAUUGACUUAAGAAAUACUUCAAUCCAGCUUCUUUUUCAGCCUUUUACAAUUGAUGUUCUUUUCACACUCAAUGUCACAUUGACUUCAGAAAUACUUCAAUCCAUCUUCCUUCUCCGUCUUUUUCAAUCGAUGUUCUUCUACCGCUAAAUGCCACAUUGACUUAAGAAAUACUUCAAUCGAUCCUCCUUUGCAGUCUUUUACAAUUGAUGUGCUUCUCCCCCUCAAUGCCACAUUGAAUUAAGAAAUACUUCAAUCCAACUUCCUUCUCCGUCUUUUUCAAUUGAUGUUCUUCUACCGCUCAAUGCCACAUUGACUUUAGAAAUACUUCAAUCCAUCCUCCUUCGCAGUCUUUUACAAUUGAUGUUCUUCUCACGCUCAAUGCCACAUUGACUUAAGAAAUAUUUCAAUCCAUUCUUCUUAUCUGUCUUUUACAAUCAAUGUUCUUCUCCCGCUGAAUGCCAUAUUGUUUUAAGAAAUAGUUUAAUCCAUCCUCCUUCUCAGUCUUUUACAAUCGAUGUUCUUCUCCUGCUCAGUGUCACAUUGACUUAAGAAAUACUAAAUUUUUUCUUCCUU